Molecule: ribosomal RNA, 433 nt
Filed under: uncultured bacterium
Lineage: Bacteria
Description: partial 16S ribosomal RNA
Rfam family: Bacterial small subunit ribosomal RNA
Source: RNAcentral
AACGAACGCUGGCGGCAUGCCUAACACAUGCAAGUCGAACGAUGCUUUCGGGCAUAGGUGCGCAGGGGUACGGAACGCGUGGGAAUCUGCCCGUGGGUUCGGAGUAACAGAGAGAAAUUUCAGCUAAUACAGGUGGAUGUCAUCGGACCAAAGAUUUAUUGCUAAGGGAUGAGGCCGCGUAGGAUUAGCUGGUUGGUGGGGUAAUGGCCUACCAAGGCGACGAUCCUUAGCUGGUCUGAUAGGAUGAUCAGCCACAAUGGGAAUGAGACACGGACCAGACCGCGACGGGGGGCAGCGGUAGGGAGUACUGGAGGCUGGACGCAAGCCUAGUCCAGCAACGCCGGGUAAGUGAUGAAGGCCUUAGGAUUGUACUGCUCUCUUACACGGGAUGUUAAUGACGGUAACGGGAGAAUAAGCUCCGGCUAACUACGUG